CCGUUUUAUGCAAUAUUAAAAUAAGCCCAGUUUCUCAAUUUUACUAAUACCCCAAUUGUUAUUACAUCAUUAUUACAAGCCCAAUGAAUGAAAUAAAUUACAAAGUUACAACAUAAUUAUAGUGGGCCUAAGACAGGCCCAAAGCACACCUGGCCAGGCCAGGCCUUCACAUAGUUCACAACAGCAUAGAAGACAGUUUUCAUAGCCAAAACCCCGUAGCCAUAAAAAAUACAGUCAUGUACACAAGCCCAUUGGCUUAUUCAGCAAGUGAAAUGGGACAGAACUGAGCAAUUAGGACAAACAUGGCAAGUAAUCUUGGACCCUAGUGCGUCAGAGUUCCCAAGGGCUUCAAGAACCCAGGGCAGUGCUCAUACUAGGGAGGUUAACAGAGGAGAUUUCAGGAUAGACUGAGGACCAAGUCCUAGUGUGUCAGAGUUCACAAAAGUCUCAAUUGGACCCCGAACAAUGCUUACAUCAGGGAGGUCAGUAGCAAGAGCCUUGGCUUUCAGCCUGCUAAGAAUAAGAAGCUCAUAAUAACAUAAGUGAUAAUGAGGGAGACUAGACAACAGUUGAGGGAGAGAACUGAAAAGUACAAGUUGAGUACAUAGAGAAAAUAAUCAAACAAGCUUUAGUUUUUUUUUUAAAAAAAGACUUAGCAAAGAUUCAGAAGAACAAUUUCAACACCUAGUGCAUAAGUAAUCACACAUUAAUAAAACAAGUUUGCAGGAUUGGUAUACACAUAUUUGUCACACCUCUUUUCUACCCCUUGAAAGUGGUAUAAGAGAGUUUUUUCCAAUUUAAGUGACAAUUGAAAUGAGAUUAUUUUAUUUAAUUUUUUUCAGAGUCUCCACUUGGGAUAAUUUAUUUGGUGUCCCAAGUCACCAGUUCAAAUCCCGAAUCGAGGAAAAAUUGACUAUGUUUUAUAGUCCGCGAACGCAGAAAUCCGGAUAAGGAAUUCUGUUAAUUCGGGAGAAGGUGUUAGGUAUUCCCGGGUUCCGUGGUUCUAGCAUGGUCGCUCAACUGUUAUUAUUGGCUCAAUUAUCUGAUUUUAUACAUUUUUAAAACCUACGUGCAUUUUUAACUUUCUAGCCGCUUUUUAAUAUUUCAGGAAAUUUCAAAGUUAUUUAAAACACAUCGUAAACCACGCUACAUGAAAUGCACCCGCGGUUCACGACACACUUUAUUUAACCUUUUUAGAAAAUUUAAAUCGGGCCACAUGAAAUGUACCCCCGGAUUUUAGAAAUCAAACAUCACAACUACGUCACGGGAACCGCACCCGUAGCUAUGACAAUUUAUUUAAUUAACGCGCCUAAAGCAAACUACGAAAGUUCAGGGUAUUUUCUACACGAGUUAAGAUAAUUAAUAUGAGCGCCACAGAUUAUGUGAUUCAAUUGUAUGAAUGGCACGCCUCAGUUUUAUUAAAGGGAAAAUUGUUCCUAACGAUCUAAGUACGCCGUAGGCAUGAAUCAAUAACUCAAAGAAUUAUAUUUCAAAUUGAAGUAUGAUUGAAAUUAUCCUCCCGCUGACAUGAAAACUUAUUUAUUUAUACCCUUUUUUUAAUUCCCAAUCCCACCCAAAAUUCCAAGGACUCAAACUUGUAUUUUAGUUCAAAAAAAACCAUGCUACUACUAAAUAACUCAUUCAUAUACUUAUGUAUCUACUUAAAAUGAACGAAAAUCCUACUGUAUUAACUUAAACUAUUUAGUGUGCUCAAAAAUAUCAAAUCAACAAGAAGAUAAGAUAGCCCCUCAGGCGUGGACAAAAUAUGUUCAAGCAUUAAGAGCAACUUAAAUCUAACAUGGAGUCAUCAUUCACAAAAGCAUAGAAGAAACAAAGAUGAAGGGUAGACCUCAAAUGAAGGAUCUGACUUUUAUUAUUUUGAAACUCAAUGAGCAGAACUGCGACUAAAACAUGGAAAACUCACCGGAAAACCUCGUAACUCUAUGCAUUCCUUGGAUCGACUUCGACGUAUUUUGGACAUGAAAUUAGUGACUGUUUGGAACCGUAUUGGGAGUGAAAUGGUGAGCUACAACUGCUGAAUUUGCUAGCUUGCUGUUGCGUUAUUCCUUGAAGAAUGAGUUGUAAUGCUAGAGUUCUAAGGUCCAGAUUUAUGGAGAAAAUAACAACUGAUUUUAGAGCUUCGCCGUGAGGUGUUGUGUUGCCGCUGUACGUAUGUGGUCGCCGACGUUAUUGGGUUGGGCGACUGGUUUUCAGUAAGUUCUGGUGGGGCGCGUCAAUGGCUGACUUCUCUCUGGUUCGUGUUUAACGGUUGUCAUCCCUUUUCCGGUGAGCUCGAAGGUUGAGGAACGAAGGGUCUGCUGGUGUGUCUCCUAGGUAACGAAGAUGAAGAAACUAAGGGUGUGGAGAAGAUAGAGUUAGGGGGGAGGGUCGUUAUGUAUAUUGCGGCUGUAACUCUUAGAGAUCUGAUGGUGUAUGAAGGAGAUGAAGACUGCGCAACGGCUGCUUUUUCAUUGUCUUAGGUUUUUAGGUCUUAUGUAUUUUCAGCUCUUUUUAGGUCUAGCUCCUUAGGCGUGUUUUUAGCUGAUUAUAG
Molecule: long non-coding RNA, 2551 nt
Filed under: Nicotiana tabacum (common tobacco)
Lineage: Eukaryota; Viridiplantae; Streptophyta; Magnoliopsida; Solanales; Solanaceae
Description: long non-coding RNA (NTAB_LNC002369)
Source: RNAcentral